CCUCUGUCUCUAUAAAAGCAGCUCCCCUCCUUUGUUUUCUGGAUUUGCCUAUGCUUUGCCAUAGCCUGCAGAUCGUGUGUUGCAUUUCUUUUGAGGAUUCCUGAAUAAACUCAUUUUGAGAUAAAAUAAUAGGCAAAUUUACUUUUAAGUUGACGCAGCUCUGGCAGAUUGAUUUUGAGUUAAAGCUAUUUGAAAAACAGCAAGAUGCCAAAUUGUGCUCUGACCUUAGUUUUUCUUCCUGAAAGUGGGAGAUAAAAUUCACAUGGGAAAGACGCCCUCGGUGUACCAGGAGAAAGAAACACUCUUACCACCAGAGACAUGCUCAAGCCCGAGAGAAAUCUGUAUAAACAGACCUUGUUAAAACAACUCUUCCUUUAAUCUCUCCAUAUAUUUUGGUUACUUUUCCACACUUACCACUCUCUGUUCAGCCUAGUAAAUCAGCACUUAGGCCUAAUCACUAAUUUGGGUCUUCAUUUUUCGUGUAAGAGCCGUCCUGUACGUGUAAAUAGCAUUUGUGUGCUUUUCUCCUGUCAACCUGUCUGGUGUCGAUCUUGUCUGGAGACCGUAGGAAGACGGAGGAAACCUUCACCUCCCCUCCAGUUUCUGGUCUGAGGAUGGCAGAGCCUUGGCUGAGAUGCUGUUGGCUCCGGGGUCUGCAGCUGAGAGAUCUUGGGACCUGAGUAAUCCGGCAGAAGGUAAGAGUUCCUAGCUCGUCCGUCUCUGGGAUGUCUGUCUGUAGUGCCCAGUCGAGAGAGGGUGGUAAAAACUUCUCCUUGUCCUUUUCUUUCCUGGUUCAGAUUGGCAAGAGAAAAGCAUUUGUAAGGAUUAGUUCUCUGGAUUGUGGCUCCUGUUCAGUUGGUUUUAGGGCCCCCUUGUUGAUCCUUCCCUCCCAGGGGCUGCUACUGCUUUCCUGUGUGUCUCCUUCUGUGUGCUGAGAGCGAGGCUGGGCCUUCUGCCCACAGGGUGGUGGGCCUCCAUGUGCAGGUGACCAACUGUUCAGCCCCCCGGUGCAUAGUUGUAUAUUCUUAGUUCUGGAUCCUUCUAGCUGUGGCAUGUUGGACCCUGCGUCAGCAUGGCCUGACCAGCAGUGCCAUGUCCGCGCCCAGGAUUCGAACCAGCAAAACCCUGGGCCUCAGAAGCGAAGCACGCGAACUUAACCGCUCGGCCACAGGGCCAGCCCCUCUUUUUUUCUUAACUAAUGGAUUUUGUAUUUCCAUACCUGUAUCAUGGCUAAAAUUUAAAAAUAAAAGCCAUAAGAUCUCUGUUGGCAUCUGUCUCUAUGUUUUUGUGUGUCUAUAUAUGUAUGUUAUAUGUAUGUAAUAUUUUUCUACCUCCAAGAAGUAUUACUAAAAACUAGCUUGUG
This 1363-nucleotide long non-coding RNA is filed under the name Equus asinus (donkey). Its description in RNAcentral is "lncRNA (ENSEASG00005037874.1)". The record is from RNAcentral. Lineage: Eukaryota; Metazoa; Chordata; Mammalia; Perissodactyla; Equidae.